GGGAGAGUUCUAAUGUUGGUAAUUAGAGUUAAACUGUAAAUUUAAUGUCAUAGACUGCGACUGUUCGAUUCAGUCCUCUCUCA
Non-coding RNA from Dujonia railenensis, 83 nucleotides. The record is from the annotation of a GenBank genome assembly. NCBI's taxonomy places the organism in Eukaryota, Fungi, Ascomycota, Pichiomycetes, Serinales, Debaryomycetaceae.